RNAcentral lists this long non-coding RNA (542 nucleotides) under Elaeis guineensis (African oil palm). Its description in RNAcentral is "long non-coding RNA (EGUI_LNC069564)". Lineage: Eukaryota; Viridiplantae; Streptophyta; Magnoliopsida; Arecales; Arecaceae. The record is from RNAcentral.
UCUGCUACAGAAGUUCGAUCGGAGCCCGAUCUCCGUAGAAGCCCGGAUGGGGAUCAUUUGUCAAGGAAGCUCGACAGAAGCCUGCCUGCAAUAGAAAUCUAGAAAGAAUUCAUCCAUAAUGGAAGCUCGGGUGAAGGCUUACAGUGGAAGUCCGACGUGGACCACUCGUAGUAGAAAUUUAAAGUAGAUCGCUUGUAGCAGAAGCUCGGAGUCCGGCCCUUGUAGGAGUUCAGAUGAGGUCUACCUGCAACAGGAGUUCAGGGUGGAAGUCUGGCUCCCGUAGGAGCUCAGACGGAAUCUACCUUCAGUCAAAGUUCGGGGACGAAGACCGGCUCCCGUAGGAGCCCGGAUGGAGUUUAGAAGAUGGUCGACCACCGUAGAAACUUGGAUGGAGUCCGUCCAUCAUGGAUAAUCUGAUCGACACUGGUGGGGGUUUAUCCAUCGGUAGAACUCGGGAACGUUGCGGAGGCUCGGCUGCCGGAGAGGUUCGAAAAGAUGUCGUCGAAGGUCGGACGUCGAUAGAAUCCCUGGAGGGUCACUCC